GGUCUUAUAUUCAAUUAUGAUUUUAAAUUGCAAGUUUAAAAGUGUAGUAAUAUUCUACUAAGGCUU
RNAcentral lists this transfer RNA (66 nucleotides) under Heteropteryx dilatata (New Guinea walking stick). RNAcentral describes it as "tRNA-Cys". The record is from RNAcentral. Lineage: Eukaryota; Metazoa; Arthropoda; Insecta; Phasmatodea; Heteropterygidae.